This 755-nucleotide ribosomal RNA is filed under the name Rossellomorea aquimaris. RNAcentral describes it as "bacterial SSU rRNA". It matches the Rfam family "Bacterial small subunit ribosomal RNA", at positions 48 to 784 of the family's 1533-position model. Lineage: Bacteria; Bacillati; Bacillota; Bacilli; Caryophanales; Bacillaceae. The record is from RNAcentral.
CUAAUACAUGCAAGUCGAGCGGAUUGAUGGGAGCUUGCUCCCAUCAAUCAGCGGCGGACGGGUGAGUAACACGUGGGUAACCUGCCUGUAAGACUGGGAUAACUCCGGGAAACCGGGGCUAAUACCGGAUAACUCAUUUCCUCGCAUGAGGAAAUGUUGAAAGGUGGCUUUUAGCUAUCACUUACAGAUGGACCCGCGGCGCAUUAGCUAGUUGGUGAGGUAACGGCUCACCAAGGCGACGAUGCGUAGCCGACCUGAGAGGGUGAUCGGCCACACUGGGACUGAGACACGGCCCAGACUCCUACGGGAGGCAGCAGUAGGGAAUCUUCCGCAAUGGACGAAAGUCUGACGGAGCAACGCCGCGUGAGUGAUGAAGGUUUUCGGAUCGUAAAACUCUGUUGUUAGGGAAGAACAAGUACCGUUCGAAUAGGGCGGUACCUUGACGGUACCUAACCAGAAAGCCACGGCUAACUACGUGCCAGCAGCCGCGGUAAUACGUAGGUGGCAAGCGUUGUCCGGAAUUAUUGGGCGUAAAGCGCGCGCAGGUGGUUUCUUAAGUCUGAUGUGAAAGCCCACGGCUCAACCGUGGAGGGUCAUUGGAAACUGGGGAACUUGAGUGCAGAAGAGGAAAGUGGAAUUCCAAGUGUAGCGGUGAAAUGCGUAGAUAUUUGGAGGAACACCAGUGGCGAAGGCGACUUUCUGGUCUGUAACUGACACUGAGGCGCGAAAGCGUGGGGAGCAAACAGGAUUAGAUA